Molecule: unclassified non-coding RNA, 536 nt
Filed under: Hevea brasiliensis (rubber tree)
Lineage: Eukaryota; Viridiplantae; Streptophyta; Magnoliopsida; Malpighiales; Euphorbiaceae
Source: RNAcentral
GUCAAACCCGAGAAUGAUCCAAUGCUUUACACAAGCCAAUCCUCACUUGACUUCAGCAGCGGAAAAAACCUUUUUCCUGGCUCCCUAUCUCAUGGCUAUAGAAGUGGAAAGCAGUUCCCAUUCUUACAAUGCACUAGUUCUGCACUCCUUGGAGAAUCUGUCUGUCAAAGUAUUUUCAAUGCUGAUUCCACCUUAGGCAGUACCUGCAGCAGCCAAAAAAUGUUCUCUGAUGGGCCAAAUCGAUUCCUUGACUCGAACCGUGCUCUCUCUCUUCUGUCAUCUCCAUCAGCCGAGACUAGGGAGAUUGGCUUGAGCCACAUGGUACAGCCUAACUUGAACCCCCAAGCUCAGUCCCCGAUCUCAAACCUCAACUUUAGCUGUCUCGGAAUGGAAAGUGGACCUGUUAAUUCUGUUCUGGUCUCUGAUGGCGGUAGCAAUGCAAAUCUCCAUGGUCAGGAUGUGUUUCAGAUUGGACCUGAAGGGUCAUCCACUAGCGGAUCUCUCCAGCCACUUUCCUUCUCUUGGGAGUAAUUUGC